UACAGAGGUCCCAAGCGUUGUUCGGAUUCACUGGGCGUAAAGGGUGCGUAGGUGGUGAGGUAAGUCGGAUGUGAAAGCUCCGAGCUCAACUCGGAAAUGGCAUUGGAAACUACCUUGCUAGAGGGUUUGAGGGGGGACUGGAAUACUUGGUGUAGCAGUGAAAUUCGUAGAUAUUCGCAAGAACACCAGUGGCGAAGGCGGCUCACUGGCCCGAUACUGACGCUGAGGUGCGAAAGCGUGGGGAGCAAACAGG
Molecule: ribosomal RNA, 253 nt
Filed under: uncultured bacterium
Lineage: Bacteria
Description: partial 16S ribosomal RNA
Rfam family: Bacterial small subunit ribosomal RNA
Source: RNAcentral